AUGGAUGUGUAUAUGUUAAAAAAUAAUAGAAAUAUGCGAAAUUUAACUGUUCAAGUUUUGCAAAGAGCGACUUAUUUGGCUUGAGAGCAAAAGCUCACAAAAUGAUCUUUCAUCUAAAAAAGUAUAUGGUGUUUCGAAUAAAUAGGGGACCCAACUAUAACUAUAUUCAACAAAUAAGGGAUUAUAUUAACGCAUCAAAUAAAAAUAUUUUCAAACUAUAAGGGUGCUGUGGAACGUUUACACUCUUGCAUUUCUAGAAUUCGUUAAAAUUAAAAAAUAAAAAAAUUAUUAAAAACAAGUAAAGAAAGGCUAAGUUUGGAUGCAAUCGAAAAUUUUAUACUUUCGCAAUUUAUUGAAGAAAACAUACAAAUUUACCCAUAAAUUCGGCAUAAAGUUUAAUAGCAUAACAAAAAUCGUAAUUCCUGAACCGAUUUCAUUCAUUCUUACCAGCAAAGUACACUAUAUCCAAGACAUAUUAACCAAUACAUACAUGCGGAAUAGAGCCCACCGUAUUUUUGAAAACCCUUAAUUAGGUAUAUGAGAGCUAGAACAGAGACACACUAUUAGAGGAAAACAAUUUCCUCUGAAUUACAUUAAAUUAUCUGAGCAAUUACCCAUAUUUUAGGUUAAUAUUUACCCUUAUAGUCCGUUUUCGACAAAUUUUUCGCAAGUGAAGCCAGAGAUAAUAUGCACUGUUUGUGUACAGUUUUAUUCCGCUAUCUUCAUUAGUUCCUUAUGUAUAUAUUAUAAAGUGAAGGAAUAAGAUGGAGUUCAAAAUUAUGUUAUAAAGAAAGUAGUCGUGGUUGUGAACCGACUUCGCCCAUUUUAUCCGUGUUAUCAGUGUGUCAAGAAAAUAUUAUAUACCGAAUUUCAUUCAAAUCGGUCGAGUAGUUCCUGAGUUAUGGUUUUUGACCCAUAAGUAGGCGAUGCCACGCCCAUUUUCCAUUUUGUAAAAAAAUCUGAGUGCAGCUUCCUUUUGCUAUUUCUUCUGUAAAAUUGAGUGUUUCUGGUGUUUUUUGUUAGUGAGUUAACCCACUUUUAGUAAUUUUCAAACUGACCUUUGUAUGGGAGGUGAGCGUGGUUGUUAUCCGAUUUCAACUAUUUUCAUGGUGUGUGGUGGGGUACGUAAGAGAACCGACUGCAGAAAGUUUGGUUUAUAUAGUUUUAUUGGUUUGCGAGUUAUAUACAUAUAACAGAUUUGUGGGGGGGCACGCCCAAUUUCCCCAAAGAAUUACACCCAAAUAUGCCCCUUCCUAUUGCGAUCCUUUAUUCCAAAUUUUACUUUUACCACUUCAUUUAUGGCUUAGUUAUGACACUUUAUGUGUUUUUGGUUUUCGCCAUUUUAUGGGCGUGGUAACGGUCCGAUUUCGCCCAUUUUCGAAAGCAACCCUCUCAUGGUCCCAAGGAGUAUUUGUGCCAAGAUAUCCUAAUUUUUACUCAAGUUACAGCUUGCACAGACGGACAGACAGACAGACGGACAGACGGACGGAUGGACCGACGGACAGGCAUCCGGAUUUCAAAUCUACUCGUCACCCUUAUCACUUUGGUAUAUAUAACCCUAUAUCUAACUCUUUUAGUUAUCGGUGUUACAAACAACCGUUAUGUGAACAAAACUAUAAUACUCUCUUAGCAACUUUUGUUGCGAGAGUAUAAAAAUAUAUGAAUCUUUUAAAAUGUGUUGCAUAUGGAUAUAUUUUCGUUAUUCUGGUAUCCUAUUCACUUACUUCACAUCACUUACUAAACAAUUUAGUUUGUAUUACAGAUAUUUACGUAUAUUGCGAUAUAAACUCUACCAAAGGGACGAAAUAGAUUUCUAUUAAAUAUCACACACAUAUAAAUAUCACCUGUAUUAGUUGUAUAAAGUCAACCGGAAAUCCAUCCAUCAAAUCCUAAAUCCAUAUAAAGAAUGUAUAGUAGGUAAGAGUAGCUCUGAGAACAUGUUUCCUACAAUUUCGUUAGGGUAACUCACUAUUUGAACGAUACAGUUAGAACAUUCAUGAGCCGAUUUAGCAAAUUACGUCAUCUAACUGUAGUAUAUUUUAGCCUUAAUUUUGCUAAGAUAUCCAUCGAAAGUUUAUCUACUUCAGAGGCAUGUACGAGUAUAUAAACAUAAUAAAUUUGAAUUUUGAUCAUUAAAAAUUCCUGUAACACUGUAAAAUAACCGAACACAGUCGCAUAUGAAUAUAGUACAUAUAGCCACCACCAGACCAAUGUCAAGACUUAUUCGAGAUGAGAUCCACAUGAAAGUUACGUUUGUCAUAAAACGUUGCUAGCAAGUGGCAAUGCAGAAAUUUAUUCUACCACUGUUAAGCCUGAAGUGCUGAACACAAAGACGACGACACGACACGCUUUGAAGCCAGCGUCUUGAACAUUUUGAAGACGGCAGCGAUAUAUCAAAAAACAAUUUCAUUGUUGCCGUACUAAAAUCAUUCACUUCAAUAAAAUUAACAUAUUUAAUUUCAAGUGAAACUAUUUGUGCAAAAAAUGUAAAAAUUGUCGAUUUAUUUGUUUUAAAUAAUCGAUUGUUAUUAUAAAUGAUAUAUCUAAGCUAUUUUAAGUUUCUGCUGGCAAAAUAACGUUAUAUUUGUGAUAACUUUUAAUAAUUUUACAUUUCCAAUAUUAGUGGCUACUCUACGUCUGCCCAUUGUCGUCGCCUAAAUUAGAAACAUUUUUAAUUUAGCGACAAUGACAACUACAUGCCUGUUGUCGCGUAGUCAUGCUGUUGUCUAAUAAUCUGUGCUCAUAAGAACGCGUGUAUUUUAAUAUUUGACAGAUGUCGCUCGUCGCUUGUAGUCUGCUAUGUGUUCAGCACUUGAUAGUGACAGUGAAGAAACGCUUAUUCAUAUACAUAUGUAUUUGGGUAGUGAAUACUGAUAGAGAAAAACAAAUACAGUAGAAUCCGGAUAUAACGACCUUCAAGGGACCGGCGAUAUUAUGUCGUACUAACCGGAUGACGUAUAAAACGAAUAUUUACAUAUGUGUGUAAUUAUAUAUCAUAAGUGCGAAAGUUUGAUUUUCCUAUUUAGGUAAAUAAAACAUGUUGUAGGAAUCAGUUACAUAAGUUUAUUUUAAUUAUUCUUAUAUGCACACAAAUAAGUAGUACAUACCAAAUUACAACCAUAGGUACGUAAUGUACUGUAAUACUGUCACUAACGUAGGAAAUCUGUUAUUUGGCUUUGUUUUCGACAGACUUUUGUUCGGUAGUCAGAACUUCGGACAGCAUUGUGGGUUCGUGACAUCAUUGUUUUGAUAUGGUCAUCAUCAAAGUUAGUCUGAACAAAUACAUUAAGCGUUUCCGCAGCCUUCAGAGCUUCCGAUACACUCAAGGUUGGAUAAAACUCUGGUUCGUCAUCAUCAGCGUCGCUAUCUCUGCUAUUCGCGCCGUCGGCGAUGAUAUUAUCCACAAUGUUUUCAUCAGACGGCUCUUCACAAGUGGCGACAGCAUCAUCGACACGCGCGUAUUAUUCAAAGUCCUCGUUUGUUAUGGGUAACUGAUGCUUAUCAAUAGCCUUCGCACAAAUGCUCAGCGGCACGUCGUAUUCCCCGGUCGCGCUGAAGCUUAAACCACUGUAACAAUGCCUUAUCCAACUGCUCAUGAGUAAAAGUUCUUACACGUUUGCAUUUCAAAACAUUGGCAUUAAAUAGCGGCUCGAUCUUGUAAUUAUUCAUCUUUAUUGUGGAUAUUGUAGAAUGAGAUACGCCAUGAUGAAAACAUUGUGGAUAAAUUCCUUUGCGAGGGUCGCGUUUGAUUCACCAGCUUCUAAUCUGUGUAAUAUUGCACUCCUUUCUUCAAUUGUAAAACACUUUCUCUUCACAGAACUCAUUUUAUGGCGCUUUAUGAACUUGUCAUAACAGGUGACAAACACUAACUGUGAUUUACGCACGCCAAUAAGGAGAUUUGAAUUGAAGCGCGUCGUUUUAAACGAACGAAUUAUCGUAAAAAAUGUCGCUAUAAACGAUUUGUCGCUCAAACCGGAGUCGCACUAAACGGUUACAUUUUCUCAGUAUGUAACUAUUAAACCGAACUUGAGUAAAUAAUAUCGACGCUAAAAACGGUUAGUCGUUAUAAGCGACUUCGUUAUAAAUGAAUUCUACUGUAUGUAUAAAAUAUAAUUUAUAAAACUAUUAAUUUUAUUUCAACUGCUGAUAUAGUAAAUUCAAACAAUAUCCUAUAAGUUAUAUAUAUAAAAUAUAUUUUACAACUUUGUAUUUAUAAGGCAUAUUUGCGGGAUAUUUACAGAAAGAAUUUUUGCGAUUCUCACAUAGAUAAGCUUAAUUAUCCGUCGUAAUAUUCAGCACUUCUAAAAACAAUCCCAUUGGUGUUGAAGGAUUAAAGCUUUCCAUUGUAUUUACAACCUUGUUUUUAAUAUUU
Long non-coding RNA from Zeugodacus cucurbitae (melon fly), 4372 nucleotides. RefSeq lists it as uncharacterized. NCBI's taxonomy places the organism in Eukaryota, Metazoa, Arthropoda, Insecta, Diptera, Tephritidae. The transcript has 2 exons. The record is from RefSeq and is a predicted model, not a curated record.